This 492-nucleotide ribosomal RNA is filed under the name uncultured bacterium. RNAcentral describes it as "partial 16S ribosomal RNA". It matches the Rfam family "Bacterial small subunit ribosomal RNA", at positions 29 to 507 of the family's 1533-position model. The record is from RNAcentral.
AGUGAACGCUGGCGGUAGGCCUAACACAUGCAAGUCGAACGGCAGCACAGUAAGAGCUUGCUCUUACGGGUGGCGAGUGGCGGACGGGUGAGGAAUACAUCGGAAUCUACUUUUUCGCGUGGGAUAACGUAGGGAAACUUACGCUAAUACCGCAUACGACCUACGGGUGAAAGCAGGGGAUCUUCGGACCUUGCGCGAUUGAAUGAGCCGAUGUCGGAUUAGCUAGUUGGCGGGAGAAGGGCCCACCAAGGCGACGAUCCGUUGCUGGUCUGAGAGAAUGAUCAGCCAAACUGGAACUGAGACACGGUCCAGACUCCUACGGGAGGCAGCAGUGGGGAAUAUUGGACAAUAGGCGCAAGCCUGAUCCAACCAUACCGCGUGGGUGAAGAAGGCCUUCGGGUUGUAAAGCCCUUUUGUUGGGAAAGAAAAGCAGCAGGUUAAUACCCCGCUGUUCUGACGGUACCCAAAGAAUAAGCACCGGCUAACUUCGUG